This is a long non-coding RNA of Polistes dominula (European paper wasp), 200 nucleotides long. NCBI's taxonomy places the organism in Eukaryota, Metazoa, Arthropoda, Insecta, Hymenoptera, Vespidae. The record is from RefSeq and is a predicted model, not a curated record.
GCAAUGGUAUACUUUUCCUGUCGACCUGUCCACCUGUACAGUGCAAUAAUAUUCUUUUUACAUUUACAUAAUAAUAAUCACAAACACAAAUCCAAUGGUUUUCUUCUUAAGCAGAUAUCUAACAUCAAGUUAAAUGGAUUUCUUAUUAAGGAAAUAUCAAACGUCAAGUCCAAUGGUUUUUUUUUCCUCACAAGAUAUCA